Non-coding RNA from Oryctolagus cuniculus (rabbit), 9940 nucleotides. Lineage: Eukaryota; Metazoa; Chordata; Mammalia; Lagomorpha; Leporidae. The record is from RefSeq and is a predicted model, not a curated record.
GAGUGUGUGGGGCCAGGUUUCCCAGAAGGGGCCAUGGGGCAGAUGGAUCCUGUCAGAACCAGCUACAGAGAGACCUGGACUUCCCCAAAGUGAGCUCUUCCACCUGUGGACCCCACCUCUGAGGGCUGGGCUGGCUCCGGACACGGGCGACAGGACCUGUCCCUGCACCAGUGACCUCGGCUGGCUCCACAGCCCCCUCUCCAUCUCUGUGCACGCAGUCUGCCUCUCCCAGGUUGUGUGGAGAGGACGGAGGGAGAUCGGGGAGAGUGGACUUUGCUGUGGUGGUUUGUUGAGGUCCAGCAACUGCUCAGGUGUGGGUGUAGAUGGUUGAGCAACAGACAGUCCUGCCUUCCUGAUUCUCCAUAAAGAUACGGAAUUUGGGAACGAAGAAGGCAAAACCAACUCAGACCCAGAAAACAUUAAAAAAAUUGCCGCUCAAAAAACCACAAAUUGGCUCAGGCACCCAAAACAAUGACAGAAAGCCAGAAUUGGGGCAAGCCAACAACUGUGCUCUGAUUGAAAAAGACCAUUCCUCCUGUGCUCUGAACUCCAUAUUCCAGCCUCAAAACCAAAGCUCACAUCAGAAAAUUCAUUACAACCAUGAUAAAUAAGAAAAAUGAGAAAAAAUCCAAAGAAAUCUAAGAGUCCAUAGUGAUAUUGGGCUUGAUUUAGUCCCAAGGAAUCCGGCUUUUUCCAGAUUCAUCCACCCCUCCCAGCAGACUGGGGGCUGAAUGAAUUCACCUGAAAUUGCAGUCAAACUCGGUUUGGAGACAAUUAAUAUAUGUCCCCUCAGCAAAAGGAUUCCAUUUCUCUUUCCAAAACACAAAAACUCAUCUUGGUCAUGUUGGGUGUAGAUUUCCAGCCUGAAAGGACAAUUUGAUGUGUUUUUUUAUUUCAUAAUGGCUACUCUGCCAAACGCUAGAUUGUAUUGUUUCAGAAUACUAAAUUUGGGAAGGAAGAAGGCAAAAGCAACUCAGACCCAGAAAACAUUUAGAAAAUUGCAGCUCAAGAGAACAAAAUUUGGUUGAGGCAUCCAAAACAAUGACAGAAAACCAGAAUUGGAGCAAGCCAACAGCUGUGCCCUGAUUGAAAAAGACCAUUCCUCCCAUGCUCUGAACUCCAUAUUGCAGCCUCAAAACCAAAGCUCACAUCAGAAAAUUCAUUACAACCAUGAUAAAUAAGAAAAAUGUGAAAAAAAGCCAAAGAAAUGCAAGAGUCCUUAGUCACAUUGGGCUUGAUUUAGUCACUAGGAAACCUGCUGUUUCCGGAUUCAUCCACCCCUCCCAGCUGUCUGGCUGUGGAAAACUCAUUGAAUUCACCUGAAAAGACAGAAUGUUUAUAAGUAUAUUGGGCCUGUGGAACCUGUCAUUUACCAAUCACAUGUUAGACUGAAUCAUAGACCAAAUAUAGGGAAGAAAUCCAAUGCAUGUAAACCUUGUGGGAAGUCAUUCAGUAUUAAAUUCUGCCAUACACUCCAUCACAGCACUCAUAUAGUGGGAAACCCUCAUGUGUGUAAUGAUUUUGGAGAAACCAAUCAGCAGAAGUCAGAUCUCAUUAGACAUCAGAGAAGUCACUCAGGGGAGACACCUUAUGAAUGCAAUGACUGUGGAAAAACCUUUGGCCAGAAGUCCAACCUCAUAAAUCAUCAGAGAAGUCACAUGGAGAUAAGCGUUUAUGAGUGCAAUGACUAUGGAAAACUCUUUGGCCAGAAGCCAAAAUCACCUCAUAAAUCAUCAGAGAAUUCACACAAGGGAUACACCUUAUGAAUGCAAUGACUGUGGAGAAACCUUUGGCCAGAAGCAAACCUCAUAAAUCAUCAGAGCAUUCACACAGGGGAGAAACCUUUUGAAUGCAAUGACUGUGGGAAAACCUUAGGCCAGAAUUCAAACCUCAGAAAGCAUCAGAGAAUUCACACAGUGGAUAAUAGUUAUGAAUGCAAUGCCUGUGGAAAAGCCUUUGGCCAGAAGCCACACCUCAUAAAUCAUCAGAGAAUUCACACAGGGAAUCCGCCUUAUGAUUGCAAUGACUGUGGAAAAACCUUUGGCCAGAAUUCAUGCCUCAAAAAUCAUCAGAGAAUUCACACAGGGGAGAAACCUUAUGAAUGCAAUCAUUGUGGAAAAGCCUUUGGCCAGAUCAACACUCACAAAUCAUCAGAGAAGUCACACAGGGGAUAUGCCUUAUGAAUGCAGUGACUGUGGAAAAACGUUUGGCCAGAAGUCAAACCUCAGAAAGCAUCAGAGAAUUCACACAGGGGAUAAGCGUUAUGAAUGCAAUGCCUGCGGAAAAACCUUUGGCCAGAAAUCACAACUCAAAAUGCAUCAGAGAAUUCACACAGGGGAGAAACCUUAUGAAUGAAAUCAUUGUGGAAAAGCCUUUGCUGAGAAGUCAGAGCUCACAAAGCAUCAGACAAUUUGUACUGGGGGGAAACCUUAUGAAUGCAAUGACUGUGGAAAAACCUUUGCUGAGAAGUCAAACCUCAGAAAGUAUCAGAGACUUCGCACCAUGGAGAAAGCUUAUAAAUGAAAUGACUGUGGAAAAGCCUUUGGUCCCAUCCUUGCAUACCCGGGAUAAAUCCCACUUGGUCUGGGUGGAUGAUCUUUCUGAUGCAUUGUUGGAUUCAAUUGGCCAGAAUUUUGUUGCAGAUCUUUGCAUAUUUAGAGACAAAGGAUUCCUGCCCAUUGAUUUACUACUAUAUGCCCACAAUUGCCAUGGUAAGGUCUAUGGCAAAAACUGAGUGCUGAGGGCUGUGAAUCUGAUUCAUCACUGAUAACACUGAAGACAUUGGUUCCUGGUUCUUAUGCUGCUAUGCAUGGAAAUGUUUUUCUAAUUUCAUUUUCAAGUAGUUCAUUGUUAAUAUAAAGAAAUGCUUCUAAUUUUAAAAUUUCAUUUAAAUAAUUUGUGAUUAAUGUGUACUAGUCAUGCAUUAUUACAGGGUGUAGUGCAAUAUUUGCACACAUUUAUGCAGUAAAAACUGAUCAAGCUAAGAAACUAUAGUUUUAUUAAUUUUUUAAAGAUUUAUUUAUUUGAAAGAGAGUUACAGAGAGAAGUAGCAGCAGAGAGAGAGAGAGGUCUUCCUCUGCUGGUUCACUCCCCAGAUGGCCGCAAUGGCUGGAGCUCUGCCAAUCUGAUGCCAGGAACCAGGAGCUUCUUCCAGGUCUCCCACUUGGGUGUAGGGACCCAAGGACUUGGGCCAUCUUCUACUGCUUUCCCAGGCCAUAGCAGAGAGUUGGAUCAGAAGAGGAGUAGCCAGGACUAGAACUGGUACCCACAUGGGAUGCUGGUGCUUCAGGCCAGGGCGUUAGCCCACUGUGCCACAAUGCUGGCCCCCAAGCAACUACAGUUUCUAAUUCUUCUCCAUGAUUUGAGACUAUCAUCUCCUCUCCUUCAGUUCUUUACACAGAACCUAAUAUGGUUGAAUGUAGUCAUCUCAUUAUAUUAUGGAACGCCAGAAGUUCUUUCUGCCUCUUUGUAUUUUGUUACCUAUUAUCUAAUCCCCCUCUAUCCCUAGCUGCUUCCCUUCUCAGCCUCUAACAACCACAGUUCUCUGUUCAGAUCCAUUAUUUUCUUUCACUUCCACAUGUGACAAGGGCCAGGUGACAUUUGUGAUCCUGCUUCUGACUUAUUUCAAUUAAUUUAAUAAUAUUUUUGUUCUUUUUUGUAUCUAAAUGAAGUUCCCCUGUCCGUUUUUUUCAUUGAUCGACAGCUAGAUUGGUUUCAAAUCCUGGCUGCAGUGAACUGUGUUAUAGUGGCUGUGUUAUGGGAAAAUUGCUGUAUCUUUGAUAUGCUCUUCUCCUUUCCUUCUAAUAAAAUUUCCUUAUUCUAUAUAGCCAAGAGCAAGAUAACUCUCAAAUGGUAGGUCAAUUUUUAUCUUUAUUUUAAAUUUUUGUUAUUUAUUUCAAAGAGUUACAAUAGAGGUAGGGACACAGAGAGGUCCUCCAUUAGCUGGUUCAUUCUACAGAUGACUACAAAGGUCAUAGCUAUACCAUUCUGAAGCAUCUGGGUCUCCCACAUGUGUGCAUGGGCCCAAGGACUUGGGCCAUCUUCUACUGCUAUCCCAGGAGAUAGCAGAGAGCUGGAUUGGAAGAACAGCAGCUGGAACUAGAACUGGCACCCAAAUGGGAUGCUGGCCCUUCAGGCCAGGCCUUUAACUCACUGCACAACAGCGCAGGCCCCAAUUUUUAUCCUUUUUAAGGCAUGACCAUACUGUUCUGCAUAACAUCUGUACUAAUUUGUGUUUUCACCCACCAUAUAUGAAGGUUUUCUUUUCCCAUAUGCUCUCUAGAUUUUGUUAUUUUUUAUCAUUUUGGCAUAAAGAUGAUAUAGUAUUGUUCAUGUUUUUGUGUAUUUUGAAAUCAGUUAAUUUGUUUAUUAAAUCUUUGUUGAUUUGAAAGGUGGAUUUAGAGAGAGAGGGAAAGACAGAGAAAGCUUUCAUCUGCUGACUGACACCCCAGUGCGUUUCAACAGUUGAACCUGGGGCAUGCUGCAGUCAGGAGCUUCAUCCAAGUCUCCCACGUGAGUGGCAAGGACCCAAGUCCUUUGUCCAUCUUCUGCUGGUUUCCCAGGUGUUUAGCAGUGAGCUAAAUUGGAAGUGGAGAUUCCUAAACUCAAAGUGGAAUUCACAUGAUAUGCUGGCCUCACAGAUUGCAGCUUACCCCACUUAGCCACAAUGCCAGCCCCUCUAUCAAUUUAAUUCCUCAAAAAUAGAUCAGUAAUGUUGGCAUCUAUCUCAUUUUGUUUUUCUCUGUUAUUAUUCAACUUAUUGAUGUCUUAUUUUUGCUCACAUUAUUCCUCUCAAUUGCCCUACCUGAGGUGAUUAGGGCUGCUGUGUUGCUUAAAUGCAGUAUAUGCUUUAGAUUACUCAUUUACUAAGUGCAUGGCAUUCACAUAGCACUUCACUCAAGUUCUACUAUGUCCCAAAUCCUCUUCUAGGCACAGAAUUCAGACCACUUUUCUCUUAGGCUUAGAUCUUGCCUUUAACAUACUACUUGGAAUUUAGUAGCUCAUGAAAUCUACAGACUGCAUAAAUGAAUGAAUAUUUUGAGGGCUGUGUUUUUGUGGAGGAACUUCAUAGGAGACCGAAGGAAUAAAAUAAAUCAAAAGUAUCCACAGUAUAUAGAAUGUAUACUAUUUUACAAGUCACAGAGAAGAGGAAGAAGAAGGAAAGUAGUGAGACUAGAAAGUUUGUGGGAAGACAAACAGGCGCUGGUCAAGAACUUAAUAAGCCCAUUAGGAAAGCAGUAAGGUUUCUUUACCUCCCUGUAGACUCUGCUCUCCAGAGGUGAACAGGGUCCUCUAAACGCACUUGCUGCACACACAAACACCUGAGUGUUGUAUUCUCCCACAGGUGUUGGAGACUGAUAUGGUGUUCUGAUUUAUAUUUACAUAAUGGCUAGUGACAUCGGGCAUAUUCACAUGUUUUGAGCAUUUACAUUUAUUCUCAGAAAUGUCUAUUCAGAUCCUUGCCUGUUUCUUCACUGUAUCUUUUGGAGUUUUUCCAAUUCAUGUAAAUGUUCUGGAAAUCUGUAAACAUUCAGAGUUUUAAUUUUUCCUGACAUCUAUUCAUUGUAUCUACACUUUGAUGCUUACUUUGUUGUGAAGAAGUAUCUUAGUUUGAUAUACUCAAAUGUCUCUGUUUCUAUUUUUGUGACUAUUGCUAUUGGAAUCUUACCAAAAGCUAUUGUCUGUUGACAAUAUUUAGAGUUUCCCUAUGUUUACUUGGGUUUGGGUCUUAUUAGAUUUUUAAUUGACUGUGAGUUCACUUUCACAUAGUGUAAGAGAUGUCAGAGUCUAUUUUCAGGCUUCUACAUAUGGAUAAUCAAGUUCCUCUGCACCACUUGCGAAAGAGAUUUUUCUUUCUCCAGUUCAUUUUAGUUCCUUUGUUAAAUAUGAGUUGCUGGUAGAAAUUUGGGUUUAUUUCUAUGAUACCUACUCUUUUCCAUUGAACUAUGUGUCUGUUAUGUCAGUACUAACACUUCUUCUUCUUCUUCUUUUUUUUUUUUGCAGUUUAUUUAUUUAUUUGAAAGACAGAGUCACAGAGAGGUAGAGGCAGAGAGAGAGAGGUCUUCCCUCCACUGGCUUACUCCCCAAAUGGCCACAAUGGCCAGAGCUGUGUUGAUCUGAAUCCAAGUGUCAGGAGCUUCUUCCAGGUCUCUAUGCAGGUGCAGGGGCCCAAAGACUUUGGCCAUUUUCUACUUUUUUCUCAGGCUAUACUAGAGUGGGGUAUAAGAAGUGGAGCAUCUGGGAAACAUACUGGCACCCAUAUGAGAUGCCGGCACUGCAGAACGGUGACUUUACCUGCUUUGUCAUAGUGCUGACCCCUGUAAUAUGUCUUAAAAUAUGGUGUGAUAUCUCCAGCUUUUUUUUGCUUUAUAAUAUUGCUUUAGAUGUUAAGCAUCUCUCAUGUUUCUAUAUGAAUUUUAGCAUCAUUUUUCUAGCUCUGAGAAGAAUAUCGUUGGUAUGUUGAUUGGGAUUGAAUUGAAUUUGCAAAUUGCUUUUGGUAGUAUGGACAUUUUGAUAUUAUUCUUCCCAUUCACAAACAUAAGUUUUCUGUGAGACUGUCAAAAAGCCUUGACAAAAAUUGGACUUUAUUACACAAAAAUUCAUCACUUUUUGGGAUCAUUUAAAUCCAUAUUUUUGCACUAAUAUUUGAUAAAUAAUGAAAGACUUUCUCUGAGCAUUUUAGUAGGAGAAAUUAAAAUAUUUAUUUUAUCAAUUUCUUCAAAUAUUGUUUAGAUGUGAUAUUCAAAUAUUGUUUAGAGCCAUUGUCUGUAUUCCCUCUAAAUUAGGAUCUUUUUGCUUUUUCCUGUAAAACUUCUCCCUUGAUUCAACAACCCUUUUUAAUGUAAUGUAAACUGAAAAUGUCAUUUCAUAAGCUAAAAAAAUGACAAAGAAGGAAAAAGAAGGGAGGGAGGUUGAGUAUAUAAUUAUGUUCUCUGAAUUUUUUCUAUAAACUGUAUUGAAUCUUUUAAAAGCUAAUUAAAAUUAAAACUCAAAAUUGGACCAUUAUGACCAAUAUUUAAAACAAGUGAUUAAAAACUGUAGAUGUCUUCAAUUUUGAUUAUCAUUCUUAUUUAGAAUGUCUGAAAAAAUCCAGAUUCUCACUUUAAAAUAUACCAGUGUGUUAGAAUUCAGUAUUAAAUGACUUUGUUUAAAAGUGUUAUUUAAUCUAUUGCUUUAAGUGGUAAUACUAUGGCCAUUGUAAAACAAAAUCCUUAUCAUUUUUCAUAAAACAGAAAGGGCCUUUAAAACAUCAUCACUAAAAAUAUUAAGAGACCUAAAAUAUAACAUUCUUAAAACCCAAGUGAUACCAUUCAAAAUUUUCAAAUAUGCAGGGAUAGUUCGUGUGAAAUAACUAAAUAAUUGUUAAGUGUAUAUAUGGAAUAGCUUCUAUAAAUACUUUUGGCAAGGGCUGGCACUGUGGCAUAGUGGGUGAGGCUGCCACCUGCAGUGCUGGUAUUCCAUAGGGGUAUCAGUUCAAGACCUGGCUGCUCCACUUCCUAUCCAGCUCUCUGCUACGGCCUGGGAAAGCACUAUAAAAUGGUCCAAGUCCUUGGGCCCCUGCACCUGCAUAGGAGACCAGGAAGAGGCUCCUGGCUCCUGCCUUCCAGUCGGCACAGCUCCAGCCAUGGAGGCCAACUGUGGAGUGAACCAGUGAAUGGAAGACCACUCUCUCUGCCUCUCCUUCUCUCUGUGUGUAAUUCUGACUUUCAAAUAAUAUAAAUAAAUCUUUAAAAAUUCUUUUGGCAAAUAGAUGAAGCUAUUUGUUAUACAUUUCAAAUAAAUAACAAAUAUACUAGAAAAAUAUAUUGAAUAAAAUUUAAGCAACUCAUAGCUAUACACAGAAAUUUCUCACCAUAACAACAUAGCAACCACUAAAUUUCCAAACUUAAUUUUCCACAACUUGGAAUCUUUAACUCCAGAAGGAGUACGAAAUUGACAGAACAGUAGCCUAUGUAUCAGGAUACCUAAUGCUAAUACAGAAUUAUCCCUGCUACAACUUACCUAUGUGACCUUCAACAAUUCACUUUACUUCUUUGGGCCUUGGCAUUUAGCAUCCUCACGUGUUAAAGGAGGCUUGGAUAAGAUCAGUUGUACUCUAUCUUGAGACUUCAAGGAUAUCUCAGUUUCCAAACAGGCACCUUAAGGGAAAGUAAACCUUUAGAUCAAAGCUUACAUUUUUAAAUAUAAAUAGAUUUUAAACUGUUUCUACAACUAGUACAAAACAACACAUUCAAAUGUGUACCAUGCCACUUUUCAAUAUUUGGGAAUAAUUAAUGCAUCAUUUUAGAGCAUUGUCUUGAGGCCAGUGCUGUGGUGUAGCCAGUAAAGCCACUGCAUGCAGUGUGGGCAUCCCAUAUGGAGGACUGUUCAAGUCCUGGCUGCUCCACUUUCCAUCCAGAUCUCUGCUCUAGCCUGGGAGAGCAGUAGGAAGUUGGCCCAAGUCCUUGGGCCCCUGAAUCUGCAUGGGAGACCCUGAAGAGGUCCUGGAUCCUGGCUUCCGAUUGGCAUAUCUCUGACCUUUUAGGCCAUCUGGGGAGUGGACCAGCAGAUGGAGGACCUCUCUCUCUCUCUCUUCCUCUUGUUCACUAUCUGUGUAACUCUGACUUCCAAAUAAAUAAAUAAGUCUUCUAAAAUAUCAAAAGAAUAUUGUCUUGCACACAGUGAGCCACUAAGUACAAGAUAUUAUUAGUAAUAUUAGAUUGAAAUAUUGAAAUAAACUAGGCAAUAAGCCUUAAGAUGCAAAUUAAUACCAGGAAAUAUAAUCUCAAAUUUCUGUGUUCAACAAGGUAGUCUCUUUUUCACUACUAACUUUAUACUGAAUAAGAUAUUUUGAUAUUUUGUUAAGAGUAAAUUUAUCAGGGGCCAGCACCAUGGCUCACGUGGUUAAUUCUCCAUCUGUGGUGCUGGUAUCCUAUAUGGGCAAAGGGUUCUAGUCCUGGUUGCUCCUCUUUCAGUCCAGCUCUCUGCUAUGGCCCGGGAAGGCAGUGGAGGAUGGCCCAAGUGCUUGGGCCCUGCACCCACAUGGGAGACCAGGAGAAAGCACCUGACUCCUGGCUUCAGAUGGGCACAGCUCCAACUGUGGAAGGAAGACCUUUCUGUCUUUCUCACUGUCUAUAACUCUACCUGUCAAAAAAAAGUAUUAGUUUUUCAUAAAAACUGCAGUAUUGAAAAGGUUCUAAAAUCCCUCUAAUUCUAAAUGUCUGUGACUGCUAACUCAUUAGCACAUAUUGCAUUCUUUACAUCUGGGUAAUCAUGAUAAUUCAUUUUUAAAUGAUUAACAAAUCUGUUGUUAUAUAUAAAUACAUGCUUUUCCGAAAAUCAUACAAUAAGCAGGCUACAUACUUUACUUCAAGUAAAACUGCCAUAUCCAGUCCUACAAUUGUAAAUAAGACAGUUUCAAUUGUUCAGCAUUAUCAAUUAUAAAUUCCAAUAGCGUAGCAAUAGCCAUGAGAAUAAAGGGGCCGAUGCUGUGGCGUACCAAGUAAAGCUGUGACUUGCAGUGCUGACAUCCCACAUGGGUGCCAGUUGAAGUCCUGGCUACUCAAAUUACUAUCCAGCUUUUUAGGCAAGUAAGACUAACUAUCCAGCAGUAGAGGAUGGCCCAGGCCCUUGGGCUUCUGCACCUGCAUAGGAGACCCAAAAGAAGCUGCUAGCUCCGGGCUUUGAAUCGGCACAGCUCCAGCCAUUGUGGCCAAAUGGGGAGUGAACCAGUGGUUCAAAGACUGCUCUCUCUCUCUCUCUCCUUCUCUGUGUGUGUAACUCUGACUUUCAAGUAAAAUAAAUGAAUCUUUUUAAAAAAGGAUGAAAUAAAAAGGAAUAUGAAUAUUAUAAAAUUGUUUAACAUUUAUUUAAUAAAUAUAAAUUUCCAAAGUACAGCUUUUGGAUUACAGUGGCUUCCCCUACCACCUAACUUCCCUCCCACCCAUAACCCUCCUAUUUC